RNAcentral lists this transfer RNA (86 nucleotides) under Sulfurivirga caldicuralii. It matches the Rfam family "tRNA". From Rfam's summary of the family: Transfer RNA (tRNA) molecules are approximately 80 nucleotides in length. Their secondary structure includes four short double-helical elements and three loops (D, anti-codon, and T loops). Lineage: Bacteria; Pseudomonadati; Pseudomonadota; Gammaproteobacteria; Thiotrichales; Piscirickettsiaceae. The record is from Rfam by way of RNAcentral.
GCCCAGGUGGCGAAACUGGUAGACGCAAGGGACUUAAAAUCCCUCGGACCUUGCGGUCCGUGCGGGUUCGAUUCCCGCCCUGGGCA